Molecule: ribosomal RNA, 1231 nt
Filed under: metagenome
Description: bacterial SSU rRNA
Rfam family: Bacterial small subunit ribosomal RNA
Source: RNAcentral
GGCAGUGAUGGGUAGCUGGUCUGAGAGGACGACCAGCCACAUUGGGACUGAGAUACGGCCCAGACUCCUACGGGAGGCAGCAGUGGGGAAUCUUGGACAAUGGACGAAAGUCUGAUCCAGCGACACCGCGUGGGGGAUGAAGGCUCUCGGGUCGUAAACCCCUUUUCUGGGGGAAGAAUAAGGUCAGGAGGAAAUGCCUGUCCGAUGACGGUACUCCAGGAAUAAGCAUCGGCAAACUCCGUGCCAGCAGCCGCGGUAAGACGGAGGAUGCGAGCGUUAUCCGGAAUUACUGGGCGUAAAGGACGUCUAGGCGGUUGGGUAAGUCACUUGUGAAAGCCCUCGGCUCAACCGAGGAAAGUCUCGUGAUACUGCCCGGCUUGGGUGUAGGAGAGGGGAGUGGAACUCACAGAGUAGCUGUGGAAUGCGUAGAUACUGUGAGGUACCCCGAUGGCGAAGGCAACUCCCUGGCCUACUACCGACGCUGAAGCGUGAAAGCGUGGGGAGCAAAGGGGAUUAGAUACCCCCGUAGUCCACGCCCCAAACGAUGUUCACUUGGUGUCGGCCGCAAAUGUAGGUCGGUGCCGGAGCUAACGCGUUAAGUGAACCGCCUGAGGAGUACGGCCGCAAGGCUAAAACUCAAGAGAAUUGACGGGUCCCCGCACAAGCGGUGGAGCACGUGGUUUAAUUCGAUCGUAAGCGAAGAACCUCACCCAGGCUUGACAUACUAGUGGUAGGAACUGGAAACAGGGACGACCCUACCUUCGGGUAGGGAGCUAGUACAGGUGAUGCAUGACUGUCGUCAGCUCGUGUCGUGGGAUGUAGGGUUAAGUCCCGAAACGAGCGCAACCCUUGUCGUUAGUUGCCAGCGGGUAAUGCCGGGGACUCUAGCGAGACUGCUGGUGAAUAGCCGGAGGAAGGCGGGGAUGACGUCAAGUCAUCAUGUCCCUUAUGCCUGGGGCGACACACAUGCUACAAUGGGUGGUACAGAGGGUCGCGAAGCCGUAAGGUGGAGCCAAUCUCAAAAAGCCAUCCUCAGUUCGGAUUGAGGUCUGCAACUCGACCUCAUGAAGCCGGAAUCGCUAGUAAUCGUAGGUCAGCCAUACUACGGUGAAUAUGUACUCGGGGAUUGUACACGCCGCCCGUCACACCAACCGAGUGGGGGGUACCUGAAGUCGUCUCUAGGAGGCGCCGAGGGUAACCUUCGCAAGAGGGGUGAAGUCGUAACAAGGUA